RNAcentral lists this ribosomal RNA (482 nucleotides) under uncultured bacterium. RNAcentral's name for it is "partial 16S ribosomal RNA". It matches the Rfam family "Bacterial small subunit ribosomal RNA", at positions 30 to 507 of the family's 1533-position model. The record is from RNAcentral.
AUUGAACGCUGGCGGCAGGCCUAACACAUGCAAGUCGAGCGGAUGAAGGGAGCUUGCUCCUGGAUUCAGCGGCGGACGGGUGAGUAAUGCCUAGGAAUCUGCCUGGUAGUGGGGGAUAACGUCCGGAAACGGGCGCUAAUACCGCAUACGUCCUGAGGGAGAAAGUGGGGAUCUUCGGACCUCACGCUAUCCGAUGAGCCUAGGUCGGAUUAGCUAGUUGGUGGGGUAAAGGCCUACAAGGCGACGAUCCGUAACUGGUCUGAGAGGAUGAUCAGUCACACUGGAACUGAGACACGGUCCAGACUCCUACGGGAGGCAGCAGUGGGGAAUAUUGGACAAUGGGCGAAAGCCUGAUCCAGCCAUGCCGCGUGUGUGAAGAAGGUCUUCGGAUUGUAAAGCACUUUAAGUUGGGAGGAAGGGCAGUAAGUUAAUACCUUGCUGUUUUGACGUUACCAACAGAAUAAGCACCGGCUAACUUCGUG